This 323-nucleotide unclassified non-coding RNA is filed under the name Hevea brasiliensis (rubber tree). The record is from RNAcentral. Lineage: Eukaryota; Viridiplantae; Streptophyta; Magnoliopsida; Malpighiales; Euphorbiaceae.
UUUCUGAGGUUUGUUCCUAACUCACAGAAAGUGAAAGCAAAUGGCAGAAGAAAAUGGUCCUUCUGAUUUUCCAGAAUCUACAUCUACUAGGUUUUAUUCAGAUGUACAGGCAAACAACAACUUUCAUGGGUCUGGUCUACCUGGUAUUAAGAGGAGAGGCCAAGGUCAUGGGAGUCGCUCUUGGAUAAAGAUUGAUGAGCAUGGCAAUUCAAAAAUUUUGGAAUUGGAUAAGGCUACCGUUAUGAGACAUUGUUCUUUGCCAGCCAGGGAUCUCCGGCUUUUGGACCCUAAGUUUAUCUAUCCCUCCACAAUAUUAGGACGAG